UACGUAGGGUGCAAGCGUUAUUCGGAAUUACUGGGCGUAAAGCGCGCGCAGGCGGUUUUGUAAGUCCGUUGUGAAAUCCCCGGGCUUAACCUGGGAAUGGCGAUGGAGACUGCGAGGCUAGAGUUUGGCAGAGGGGGGUAGAAUUCCACGUGUAGCAGUGAAAUGCGUAGAGAUGUGGAGGAACACCGAUGGCGAAGGCAGCCCCCUGGGUUAACACUGACGCUCAGGCACGAAAGCGUGGGGAGCAAACAGG
Molecule: ribosomal RNA, 253 nt
Filed under: uncultured bacterium
Lineage: Bacteria
Description: partial 16S ribosomal RNA
Rfam family: Bacterial small subunit ribosomal RNA
Source: RNAcentral